This 374-nucleotide ribosomal RNA is filed under the name uncultured organism. RNAcentral describes it as "bacterial SSU rRNA". It matches the Rfam family "Bacterial small subunit ribosomal RNA", at positions 526 to 896 of the family's 1533-position model. The record is from RNAcentral.
CGUAGGGUGCAAGCAUUAUCCGGAGUGACUGGGCGUAAAGAGUUGCGUAGGUGGUUUGUUAAGUAGAUAGUGAAAUCUGGGGGCUCAACCUCACGGGCUAUUAUCUAAACUGGCAAACUCGAGAAUGGUAGAGGUAACUGGAAUUUCUUGUGUAGGAGUGAAAUCCGUAGAUAUAAGAAGGAACACCAAUGGCGUAGGCAGGUUACUGGACCAUUUCUGACACUGAGGCACGAAAGCGUGGGGAGCGAACGGGAUUAGAUACCCCGGUAGUCCACGCCGUAAACGAUGGAUACUAGCUGUUGGAGGUAUCGACCCCUCCAGUAGCGAAGCUAACGCGUUAAGUAUCCCGCCUGUGGAGUACGGUCGCAAGACUA